Hevea brasiliensis (rubber tree) is the source of this 736-nucleotide long non-coding RNA. RefSeq lists it as uncharacterized. NCBI's taxonomy places the organism in Eukaryota, Viridiplantae, Streptophyta, Magnoliopsida, Malpighiales, Euphorbiaceae. The record is from RefSeq and is a predicted model, not a curated record. The transcript has 3 exons.
AACUCAAAUUUUGAACCGUAAAAAGUGACGCUGCGGUCCUUAGGACCCUUAUGAACACAGUGGAAAAGAGAAAAUCAUGAAAAAGAACUGUUAAGUCAGUCAAAUAAUUAGGUCAGGGAGCCGGAAGAAAUAUUGGAUUAUUUGCAAACCGGGAUGAACAGGCGAGGGGCAAUUUGGUCAAUUGACCCCGAGAGCUGACUCCUGACCUAACUGUCAAAUAAAAUCGGAGAAAAGAAAAUUUCGGAAUCGAGAAUUAAAUUAAAGAACUAAUAGAAAAAAAAAAAAAGAGAAAAAGAGAUGAAAAUGAAAAAGUCAAAAGUUAUGACAUCAUGCAUGAUGUCAUAACUAAAGUAAUAAAUUGAAUUAUUUAAUUUGGGAAUUAGGGGUCUUCCAUAAGCCAAAAAAAAAAAAAAACGUGUAAAGGAAACCAAAGGAAAAAAAUUAGGAUUUUCUUCUUCCUUGCCACCCCACUUUCCUCCCAAAUUCCUCCAUGAAUGGUCCUCCAUUUAAGCUUACAUUUAAGCUUAAUUUUCUUCACUUAAUCCAAAUAACUCUCUUAAAAACCACCCUAGAGCUUGUUAUUGCAACUUAAGAAGGAGAUUACAAGAAGAAAGAAGAAUUAAAGAUAGGGUUUUGAAGCUUUAACAAAAGUUGAAAAGAAUAUCGGGAAGGAACCCGAGGAACCGAGUCGAGGCUAAAGGACGACUCGUUUGAGAUACAGAGAUUAGAGGAGCAG